GACUUUUACCAUGUAAAUUUGAAUUGCAGAUGCAGUCCUGGAAGGAAGUGGCCUCAGAACUUGUUGCAGUCAUAAGAUACUGCACUUCAAGGCACUGGAAGUGUCGUGGACUUGCUUCUGUUGUUGUCGAUCAUGAAGAAAGUAGCUGAGGGAGAUGGUGGGGUGAUUGUCAAAUCUAGCUGUUCACACUUGGAUGAUUGCAUAUUGACUCCUCCAAAGCCAGGAUUCCAUUUCUGGUCCCAUUCAUCUCUCUCACUUUCCUGUCAUGCUUUUUCCUCGUAAGGCAAAAUCAAGCAUCACUUUGGAUG
Long non-coding RNA from Musa acuminata AAA Group (dessert banana), 308 nucleotides. RefSeq lists it as uncharacterized. The transcript is spliced from 3 exons. The record is from RefSeq and is a predicted model, not a curated record. Lineage: Eukaryota; Viridiplantae; Streptophyta; Magnoliopsida; Zingiberales; Musaceae.